GGAGAGAUGCCAGAGUGGUUGAAUGGGGCGGUCUCGAAAACCGUUGACCUCUUACGGGGUCCCAGGGUUCGAAUCCCUGUCUCUCCG
Molecule: transfer RNA, 87 nt
Filed under: Bacteroidales bacterium
Lineage: Bacteria; Pseudomonadati; Bacteroidota; Bacteroidia; Bacteroidales
Description: tRNA-Ser
Rfam family: tRNA
About the family: Transfer RNA (tRNA) molecules are approximately 80 nucleotides in length. Their secondary structure includes four short double-helical elements and three loops (D, anti-codon, and T loops).
Source: RNAcentral